UAACGCGUGGAUAACCUGCCUCACACUGGGGGAUAACAGUUAGAAAUGACUGCUAAUACCGCAUAAGCGCACAGUGCCGCAUGGCAGUGUGUGAAAAACUCCGGUGGUGUGAGAUGGAUCCGCGUCUGAUUAGCCAGUUGGCGGGGUAACGGCCCACCAAAGCGACGAUCAGUAGCCGACCUGAGAGGGUGACCGGCCACAUUGGGACUGAGACACGGCCCAA
RNAcentral lists this ribosomal RNA (223 nucleotides) under uncultured bacterium. RNAcentral's name for it is "partial 16S ribosomal RNA". It matches the Rfam family "Bacterial small subunit ribosomal RNA", at positions 111 to 334 of the family's 1533-position model. The record is from RNAcentral.